This is a long non-coding RNA of Ricinus communis (castor bean), 637 nucleotides long. RefSeq lists it as uncharacterized. Lineage: Eukaryota; Viridiplantae; Streptophyta; Magnoliopsida; Malpighiales; Euphorbiaceae. The record is from RefSeq and is a predicted model, not a curated record. The transcript has 2 exons.
GUAACAGAAAAGGAGAGAGAGAGAGAGAGAGAGAGAGAGAGAGAUCUUUUAGAAUAAAAUCUCAACUAGCUAUAAAUUUUUCAUUUUAGCUCCGAUUGAAGUGAUUCUUGAGGCGUUAUAAUCGUUAGGAAACCAGCUUUCUUUUGAGAUCAACAAUGCAGAUUUUGGAAAGAGAAUUUUAGAGAGGGAAAAUGUGCAUUGUGUUCAAUUUUUUAUUAUUUUGAGUCAAUAUAACCGUUGGAUUUUCAAAUAAAUAGCACAGAUGAACUCCCCAUAAAGCAAGCUUUUAGAUGCCAUUGGUUUUACUCUGAUGGGACACUAUUUACGAUCCGACGAUCAAAAGUGUUUUGAUGUUUCUAGUCAAUCAUUGACUGUUUAGGAAUAAAAAAUACCUGAACCACAUGAUAUACGCAUUGAGAUGAGUCUAAUAGUGUCUUCGGAUCAUCGAAUUGACAUUAGCGACUGCUGACGAGUAGACGAGCGUAACACGCGUUUGGGUCCCUUCAUCAAAAAACAUGUUGAAUUACUAUAUGUUUUAUCCUUUUAUUGAUGUGUAAUAAGAUGUUAAACAAUUAUUGGAUGAUUAUAUAUUUUCCAAACAAUAUUUGCAAUAAAUAUUUAAGCUUAUUAUACAUUA